Molecule: unclassified non-coding RNA, 334 nt
Filed under: plant metagenome
Description: partial contains 5.8S ribosomal RNA, internal transcribed spacer 2, and large subunit ribosomal RNA
Rfam family: 5.8S ribosomal RNA (bases 1-105)
Source: RNAcentral
GAAAUGCGAUAAGUAAUGUGAAUUGCAGAAUUCAGUGAAUCAUCGAAUCUUUGAACGCACAUUGCGCCCGGCAGCAAUCUGCCGGGCAUGCCUGUCCGGGCGUCAUUUCUGCCCUCGAGCGCGGUUCGGCCCCUAGCGGGCCGGCCGCCGCCCGGUGUUGGGGCGCUGCGGGCCCUCGUGCCCGCAGGCCCUGAAAUGAAGUGGCGGUCCCGCCGCGGCGCCCCCUGCGUAGUAGUAAAGCACCUCGCAUCGGGUCCCGGCGGAGGCCAGCCGUCGAACCUCUCUUUUGAUGGUUUGACCUCGGAUCAGGUAGGGUUACCCGCUGAACUUAAGC